GUCAAUGAUGAUCUCAUGCUCUUCUUCUUCUUGGAGAUUGAACUCCAAGUUGGUGUUGCGGAAGAGCUGCUGCAUCCUCGAAGAUGAUCAACUCUGUGAGGUGAAUUUCCUGUGCAGAAAGUUUGCAGAGCAGAAAGAGUUGCCAUCUUCUGAAAAUUGAAUUAUGCUUGGAAGCGUAGUAGACAAGAAGUCGAAGCUUGUCUGAAGAUAUAUGAUCUGUGUGGGAUAUUGUUUAGGCCAUUUAGAUAAGGACACGUCAGAUUCAAAAAGAGAUUCAGUGGUGGAAAUGGAUAAGGCACCCAAGGUCUUUGUUUUUGCCGACAAUUAGUUCCCAAAACGGCCUUCUUAGGCCUCGGCAUCCACCGUCUGCAAAUUAGCAGGACACAUGAAACCAAACGAAC
This 401-nucleotide long non-coding RNA is filed under the name Linum usitatissimum (flax). RNAcentral describes it as "long non-coding RNA (LUSI_LNC002174)". The record is from RNAcentral. Lineage: Eukaryota; Viridiplantae; Streptophyta; Magnoliopsida; Malpighiales; Linaceae.